Molecule: ribosomal RNA, 254 nt
Filed under: uncultured bacterium
Lineage: Bacteria
Description: partial 16S ribosomal RNA
Rfam family: Bacterial small subunit ribosomal RNA
Source: RNAcentral
UACGUAGGUGGCAAGCGUUGUCCGGAUUUAUUGGGUUUAAAGGGUGCGUAGGCGGCCCCUGUAAGUCAGUGCUGAAAUAUCCCAGCUUAACUGGGAGGGUGGCAUUGAUACUGCGGGGCUAGAGUACAGAUGAGGUAGGCGGGAUUGACGGUGUAGCGGCGAAAUGCUUAGAUAUCGUCAAGAACACCUAUAGCGAAGGCAGCUUACUAGGCUGUAACUGACGCUGAGGCACGAAAGUGUGGGGAUCAAACAGG